AAUUGAAGAGCAAAAGAACGUGGUCUACCAAAUACCAUGUCAAGAUUGUAGUUGGAGCUACAUAGGCGAAACAGGAAGAUCCCUGAAGACGAGAAAGUCUGAACAUGUAAGGAAUGUAAAACACAGCAAGAAGGGAUCGAAUGUUGCAAAACACGCAUGGACUCAAGACCAUAUAAUUGACUUUGCCAAUGCUAAAGUGAUAGACAAGGG
Paramuricea clavata is the source of this 210-nucleotide non-coding RNA. Lineage: Eukaryota; Metazoa; Cnidaria; Anthozoa; Malacalcyonacea; Plexauridae. The record is from the annotation of a GenBank genome assembly.